CUGUGUUCAAACUCCUACGACUAAUGCUAAUGUGUUGAUGGUGGGCGGGGCUAAUAGGCUCAGUAUCUGUCCUUUGUGCGUAAACCCCAAAUGAAAGUAGAACGUCAGAAAAUGUUCCCAGUUCUACAUUACCUGACGAGUGCGUACGACUUUAUUCUCAUAAAUUCUAUUUUUCCUGCCCGUU
Molecule: long non-coding RNA, 184 nt
Organism: Sphaeramia orbicularis (orbiculate cardinalfish)
Lineage: Eukaryota; Metazoa; Chordata; Actinopteri; Kurtiformes; Apogonidae
Exons: 4
Source: RefSeq, a predicted model, not a curated record